Canis lupus familiaris (dog) is the source of this 3889-nucleotide long non-coding RNA. RefSeq lists it as uncharacterized. The transcript is spliced from 3 exons. Lineage: Eukaryota; Metazoa; Chordata; Mammalia; Carnivora; Canidae. The record is from RefSeq and is a predicted model, not a curated record.
GGGAGCUUGCUGAACUGAUACCUGUUGCACAUCCUACAUUGAUAAUGUCAUUUAAAGAGGAGUCUGUCAUACACACCUGUUCCCUACGUCUUUACGAUAGCUACACCUGGGCUUGUGCUCUUCUCCCUGCCAGAGGCAAGAGCAGACAGUUAACAAAAGAAGGCAUUAUGAUGGUCGAUACACAAUUGUUCAAAACUAGGGGACUGUUCCUCCUCUCACGCACUUAAUUCAAAACACGGUGACCUGAUGGAGGUGACAAAGCUGGAACGGAGGAAGCAAAGAGAGAAGGGGCUGCCUGGGCCCGCCUGGUCUCUGCUGCCCCCCAGGGAUGGAAAGAGGACUGAGGCUCAGAGUGAGCUCAUUGGCCAGUGGGUCUCCAUGUAGUCACCCUGCCUGAAGUAAAUGUGGCCAGAGAAGUGUCUUGGCCAGAUCACACUUGAUAGACACUGAUUGUGCUUCUUCAAAAUUCUUAUGUUUGAAGCCCUACCCCUUGAUGUGACAGUUUUAGGAAGUGGGGCUUUGGGGAGUUGAUUAGGUCAUGAGAAUAGGACCCUGGAGAAUGGGAUCAGUGCCCUUAGAAAAGUAAAAUCCUAUCCCCCAAUGUGAUGACGUUGAGAGGUAGGGCCAACUGGAGGUGAUGAGGAUUAGUUCCCCCAUUAGAUGCCAGAGAGCUCCCUUAAUAUCUCCUGCCAUGUGAGGACACAGAGAGAAUACUGUCCUCUCUUAACCCGCAAGGAGCCCUUCACCAGACAUUGAAACUGCUCAUGCCUUGAUCUCAGACUUCCCAGCCUCCAGAACUGUGAGCAAAGUUUUCUGUUUAUAAAAGCCAUCCGCCUGUGCUGAUUGGUUACAGCCGCUGGAAAGGACUAAGACAAUGCUGAUCAGGUGAGUUAUUCCUACCCCCAGGCUGGCACCGAUCAAGGGGUAAAGCCCUCAACUGAAAAGCAUUCACCCCGACCCCGGGCCCUGGGAGAAGGACAGGCUCCCUGCUCCUCACUUAGUAAUCUGAGGCAGAGCGCCAUGACCACUGAGUGUCCUCCCUGCAAGAUCACCAAAAAAAAAAAUCCCUGUUCAAGCCAUCUAAUCUUCCAACACUGCAAACUGAUUCUUGAGAUCUGCCAUCUCCAGCCAACACUGCUGUUUCAUGCAACCAACCCCCUGCCAACACGUGACUAACGCUGCCUCCAGGGAAGGGCCCUGAAAGGCAUUCACCACUUAGCACGGCCUGACCCCGUUGCACAUCUUCAGCCUGAACUCCUGCACAAAUGUCCUUUUUGCCACAAAAACAGGCUCCAUGUCACGGCUGUCACACAGGGUGGCUGUAAAUUCCUGACCCGUGGCCAGUAGGAGCAGUCCCCGCUCCUAAUCCUUCGAGGCCUAGAUCAACAGGCCUUCCCAAGAAAUCCUUCUCUGAGCCUCUCUUGGAUUGACCCUGUCUGCCCCCUGCUCCCUGCCCCCCACACACUGUCCUACUGUUCCUCAUUUGCCAAUCUCCUGGAUACACACAGAGUUUGCUGGAAGCUGGGAAUGAAGGUGUGCUGGACAGCAUCCUAGAGGAUGGACGAGGACAGGAGUGUCCAUGUGAUGGCCCUGUGAAAGUGGUCGACAGAAGAUGCCGGGGUCACAUGAGAAGGAAAGGUUUGGUGGGAGAAGGCUUAAAAGCAAAGGUAGUUUUGGGAUGCCUGGGUGGCUCAGUGGUUGAGUGUCUGCCUUCAGCUAUGGGCAUGAUCCUGGGGUCCUGGGAUUGAGUCCUGCAUCGGGAUUCCCACAGGGAGCUUGCUUCUCCUUCUGCCUGCGUCUGUCUUUUAUGAACAAACAAAUAAAAUCUUGCCCAAAAAGCAAAGGUAGUUUUAAGUCGAAUCUCGAUGAAGGCGAGAUGGAGGAAAGGUGAACAAAAGCAAAGCCAAGGAGGACCUGAAUCCAUAACUGUGUGAGAGGAGAUUUGUGGGAACUCUUUAUGGACUAGUUCAUCAGGGCUUCUGAUCCCUGUAAUGUGGGCAUUAAGAAAAUUCUCCACGUUAAUAUGAAACAUUUCUUCCUCAUUUGCAUCUUGGGGGGCAGCUGGAAUGGGACAAACACACCAUGUUCUGUGAAGGACACAUGUGCUUGAGCCUCUGUUGUGGCCCUAAUAUAACCUGGUGUGCGUGCAGUCCUGCUCAUUGUCAGCGCUGGCAGGCGCUAGGAGCCUACAGAAAACCCCACCAGACAGCUCAAGUGUGGCUUAACGAGAUGCAAUCAUUUGCCUGGAGCUAGGAGGCCACUGCUUUCCUUCUGGCUCUUGGGCAAACCUCUCUCCCAUUGAGGAAUAGGCCAGAUCCAGUGGACAUGGCCCAAGAAACCAACUGGAAGCUGGCUUUCCUCAGGCUAUGACCUGGCCCAAAUCUCUGCAUGAAAUAUUACCAAUGGGCCUGAAGGGAUACUAUGCCCUGUCUGGAGCCUUUGGGGCCCUGCUGCCACAGAGAGCUGAUGUUUGCUGAGAAGGCUGUGGUGCCUCACAUCCCCCUGCAGAGCUGGUAUUUUUUCCCUUUGGUGAAAGUUAGCAUCAAACCAGAGAUUGGAAUGUCCAAUUCUAGAACUUCUGCAGCUUCUCAUUAUUUUGCCAGUAAGUACCUGUUCCUCUCACAAAAUUCACUUAUUUUCUUUACCAAAAAAUACAAUUUAGACUAAGACCCUUAACUCUUGCCCAUGAUACAAGCCACCCACCUGCCUCCUUCUCCUUGUGGAUAUUUUUCCCUCUUGCUAAUGGUUUAAGACACAUUGAUUUACAUUCCCUGUAAGAUUUAGAAGGCAGCCUUUAUUAUUUUUAUUUUUUUUUUAGUCAGCCUUUAAAAUAUAAAACUAUACACUUAAGACAUAAACCUGCAGAAUGCCAUUGAGUUGCCAGUGAAGGCAGAUAGUCACCCAUCCAUCAGUCAUCCAUCGUCCACCAGAUAGACAUCCAUACUCAGAUGUCUCCCCAGACACGGUGAACCCCGGAGAACCUGGGAUGAAGCUUUCAAGGCCCAGAGAAGCCUUCUGGUAUCAGAGAUACAGAUGAUCUGAGUGACCUACAAACAUACUAGUAAAUGCCAGCAAGGGGUCAGGUGGCUGUGAUUGUGUAUUCACAAUCCAUGUGUCCAAUUCUGUGACUCUGUAAUCCCUGAGCUUUCAGCUUCAAGGCCAAAGUCAUACAUUUGACUUAAAUGAGUGAUGUACAGAUAUACAGAAGGAGAUACAUGACCAUGUCUACAGAGCAAUGCAUAUUUAUCGUAUUUUACGAUUAAAAAAAAGAUUUUAUUUAUUUAUUCAUUCAUGAAAGACACAGAGAAAGAGGCAGAGACAUAGGCAGAGGAAGAAGCAGGCUCCCUACCGGAGAGCCUGAUGCAGGACUCAAUAACAAGACUGUAGGAUCACGACCUGAGCCGAAGGCAGACGCUCAAUUACUGAGCCACCCAGGUACCCUGCUUUAUGAAGUUUUUAAACCCAGGACUUCAGAGUUACAGGUUAAGACAUCUGCUGGCCACAUAAUCACACUCCACUGUGAUUCCAAGGAGCACCCAAGGCUUCCUUCUAUCUACUGGCAUGUGAUGGAAAAUGUGCAUGCAAGCAAGGGACACUAUGCAGGGGACCUUUUCAUUGGCACCAUUUCUGUUUCUGAAAUUGAUGUGGAAAGGAGAUCCUCACAAUGUACGGUUUUUAUGCUUCAGGAAUCCAUAUAGCACUACACCUUAAAUACCACUCUUUGAUUGCUCUGACAAGCUUCAUGAUUUCUUCUCAGAUGUAACUCACUCAAGAGUAUUCUUAUAAAUAAACUUUAUUAAAGGCCAUUAUUUUAAACAAGCAAACUUGUUUUAAUGUAAUGAUCCAUGAUAUUGUAAAAUUUGAAUUAAAACGGUCAUUUGUUAUCAAA